This 253-nucleotide ribosomal RNA is filed under the name uncultured bacterium. RNAcentral's name for it is "partial 16S ribosomal RNA". It matches the Rfam family "Bacterial small subunit ribosomal RNA", at positions 524 to 776 of the family's 1533-position model. The record is from RNAcentral.
UACAGAGGGUGCAAGCGUUAAUCGGAAUUACUGGGCGUAAAGCGAGCGUAGUCGGUUAUUUAAGUCGGAUGUGAAAUCCCCGGGCUCAACCUGGGAAUUGCAUUCGAUACUGGAUAGCUAGAGUUCGGCAGAGGGAAGCGGAAUUUCGGGCGUAGCGGUGAAAUGCGUAGAUAUCCGAAGGAACAUCAGUGGCGAAAGCGGCUUCCUGGACCAGAACUGACGAUCAGGCUCGAAAGCGUGGGGAGCAAACAGG